ACAAUUGAAAGUUAGGGUUUGUACUCAAUAAUAUGGAAUUUUGGCUCUAUUGUUGCUGAAGUUGCAUAUGCAAAAUCGAUUUCAAGCAAGGAACUGGUGACUU
Molecule: long non-coding RNA, 103 nt
Organism: Chenopodium quinoa (quinoa)
Lineage: Eukaryota; Viridiplantae; Streptophyta; Magnoliopsida; Caryophyllales; Amaranthaceae
Exons: 2
Source: RefSeq, a predicted model, not a curated record